RNAcentral lists this transfer RNA (72 nucleotides) under Marmota marmota marmota (Alpine marmot). It matches the Rfam family "tRNA". From Rfam's summary of the family: Transfer RNA (tRNA) molecules are approximately 80 nucleotides in length. Their secondary structure includes four short double-helical elements and three loops (D, anti-codon, and T loops). Further hydrogen bonds mediate the characteristic L-shaped molecular structure. tRNAs have two regions of fundamental functional importance: the anti-codon, which is responsible for specific mRNA codon recognition, and the 3' end, to which the tRNAs corresponding amino acid is attached (by aminoacyl-tRNA synthetases). tRNAs cope with the degeneracy of the genetic code in two manners: having more than one tRNA (with a specific anti-codon) for a particular amino acid; and 'wobble' base-pairing, i.e. permitting non-standard base-pairing at the 3rd anti-codon position. RNAcentral also lists the same sequence under 1 other name. The record is from Rfam by way of RNAcentral. Lineage: Eukaryota; Metazoa; Chordata; Mammalia; Rodentia; Sciuridae.
GGGGUUGUGGCUCAGAGGUAGAGUGCUCGCCUUGCACUAGCAAGACCCUGGGUUCCAUCCUCAGCAACCAUA